This 439-nucleotide ribosomal RNA is filed under the name uncultured Paracoccaceae bacterium. Its description in RNAcentral is "bacterial SSU rRNA". It matches the Rfam family "Bacterial small subunit ribosomal RNA", at positions 923 to 1382 of the family's 1533-position model. Lineage: Bacteria; Pseudomonadati; Pseudomonadota; Alphaproteobacteria; Rhodobacterales; Paracoccaceae. The record is from RNAcentral.
GCACAAGCGGUGGAGCACGUGGUUUAAUUCGAAGCAACGCGCAGAACCUUACCAACCCUUGACAUCCUUGGACCGCCGGAGAGAUUCGGUUUUUCUCGUAAGAGACCAAGUGACAGGUGCUGCAUGGCUGUCGUCAGCUCGUGUCGUGAGAUGUUCGGUUAAGUCCGGCAACGAGCGCAACCCACAUCCCUAGUUGCCAGCAGGUCAAGCUGGGCACUCUAUGGAAACUGCCCGUGAUAAGCGGGAGGAAGGUGUGGAUGACGUCAAGUCCUCAUGGCCCUUACGGGUUGGGCUACACACGUGCUACAAUGGCAGUGACAAUGGGUUAAUCCCAAAAAGCUGUCUCAGUUCGGAUUGGGGUCUGCAACUCGACCCCAUGAAGUCGGAAUCGCUAGUAAUCGCGUAACAGCAUGACGCGGUGAAUACGUUCCCGGGCCUU